Molecule: unclassified non-coding RNA, 413 nt
Filed under: Perryodendron parviflorum
Lineage: Eukaryota; Viridiplantae; Streptophyta; Magnoliopsida; Sapindales; Rutaceae
Description: contains 5' external transcribed spacer, ETS
Source: RNAcentral
UGGAUGGUUGUGGUUGGCAGGCUCCGUGCUCGUGCAUCGAACUGUUGACGCUCCAUCCGCUUCAAUGUUUCCCCGAGUGAAGCUCUUUCCUUGUGGGUUCGAGUGGUAUCCUGUGUUGCUUACCGAUGAAUUGGAAUUCGAUGGUUUGGUUUAGUUGGUCCGCCUUGUGCCCUUUUGGGGGUGCGGGGUGGAUGUUAGGCGAGCACUGUGUUCCCAACAAGCCUACUGCAUUGGCAUAUGGCUGUUGCGGCCCAUGGUGGGUUCGCUCGUUCUCUUGGAUGCAGAAAGCUAUGUGUGGGCGCGAGGCCUAGGCCUCAAAUCGUCCAAGCACACUGUCCCUUGUCUCGAAUGACUGCGGCGCCCGUCUUGAUCUCUCCGACCAAGGCCUCGUAAUGGGGCUUACUGGACGAGGA